Aethina tumida (small hive beetle) is the source of this 2361-nucleotide RNA transcript. RefSeq lists it as uncharacterized. The record is from RefSeq and is a predicted model, not a curated record. The transcript has 3 exons. NCBI's taxonomy places the organism in Eukaryota, Metazoa, Arthropoda, Insecta, Coleoptera, Nitidulidae.
CAAUUUGACAAUGUUGAUUGUAACAAUCAGAAUAUUUGAAUUAGGAGCAUGCGCAUAACUUGUUAUUAUAUUGACCUAACCUAUAAAUUUUUCUGUAUUUUAAUGUUCCAAGAGAAAAACAUUUGAUGUCCCAUUCGUUAAAAAUCUUGAAACGUAAUCUCUACGGAAGUUUGUGAUAGUCUUGGGUAAUCUCUGAUUAACAGUAGCGCCUACAGGCAAUUGUGUUUUUUGUUUUUGUUGUUAGUUCUGAGGUUGUUUUCUUUAAGACUAUAAUGUCGAAUCAAGUUACUUAUACACUCGAUCAAAAAUAUCACAUCGUUGUCUGGAGCCACAAGGGAUAUUCUUAUAAACAGAUAAAUGAUUUAUUUUCUAAAAUGUUUGAAAAUAAACCUGCUCCAUCACCAAAUACAAUCCAGAGAAUUUUGGAGAAUUUACGCCGAUACGGAUGUUUAGUCCCUAAAAACCACAAAAGAGAACGGAAAGUGAGACCGAUAGAUCCAGAACGUGAACGACGCAAUAGAAGGAUCUGUGAAUGUGUAGAGGCGAAUCCAACACUUUCACUUAAGGAAAUUGCAAAAGAAGUAGGAACAUCUAGUGUAACUGUGGCUAAAGUUCUGAGGACUAACAAAUAUCAACAAUACAAAAUUGAUGAAUCCAAGGGGCUAAUGUUACUUCCAGUACGUCCAAAAGCAAAAUGCAAACUAGAAAAUAUCAUAAAAUCAGAACCUGAUGAAAUUACACAAACGACUGAAACUACUAGAUCCACAAACCAUCAAGAAACUACUUCAUCAGGUACAAAGGAAGUGGUAGAUUCAGAUAAAAAGUAAUUUUUUGUUGUAUGUGUCUCUGAGAGGUCAUAUCACUGUAAAAAAGUACUUUUGAUUAUAGAUUUAUCAUGACUAAGGAAACCCCUAAUGUUGCGUCAAUGAAAUAGACGGAUUACACAAUACUUGGGGAGUCCCCAGUGAGUGGGACAGACAAGAAAUCUUAUAAUAGGUUUUGGACCAACUAUAUGGUUGUAUUCAGCUAAUUAGUACCUGUAUUCAGUUAUUAUAUUUAUAUCAUAUAGUACCAUAAGAAAUCAUUUAUAUUAAUUCUAUUAAAAGAUUGAUUAUUAAAAAGAAGUUGAAAACUGAACUAUAUUUAUAACUUCAUCAUCAAAACAUUGUUAAAAAUUAUGCUAUACAAAGGUUCUAAUUGUUAAUGAGUUAGUUAUUUGUUAAAGGUAUUACUAUGUAACAUGUCUUGACCAAAGUAAUAAUAAACUUACUUUACAAAUUAUCAAAACAAUACCAUAAAAGUUAAAAUAAAAGGCGUGAGUCUCAAGGGAGCCAACAGGUCCAAAAAAUAUUAUCUAUCUCUCCUCUAUUUAUUAUCUUUUAUUAGAAAACAUACAAAACUACAAUGGGCCAGAUGAUGAUUAAUAGUAUUAAUCUGAAAGAAUACAAGUUAUUGAAGGAUAUUUUCUGAUUGCCACUUUUUAACUUGUUUUAGUCUUUUCAAUUUUAUAUAUUUUUAAAGGUCCCAACUAGUGUAUUAAUAUAUUUUUCUUUAUUGCUCAUAUUAUCUUAUUACUAUUGUGAUUCUUAUGUGAUAUUUAUUUAUCUUGUUAUCGCUUUAUUAUUUAUGAUAAUAAAUAUUAUUUAAAUAAAAAAAUUGAUUUGUAAUUGGACCAGGGAAAUCAACUCUUAUUGACUAUGUUGAAUUUAAACGGUGGUCGUACAAGGAGUAAUGUUGAACGCUCUGGUCGCCCAAUUUGGGCACUUGUUACGGAAAACACAAAAAAUAUUCAUAAAAUAGUUUUAAAAGACUGUAAAAUACAACCGAAACCGAAUGUUGAUAUAUGUUAUAUGUCCUUCUUCAGAAAUGUCCAUUCUGUUACUGUGUACUGUAGGAAGUGUGGAUGUCAGAAAAGUCGAAGCUUUUAAAGAUGUAGGAAUCUUCGCCUUCGAUUCAUCACAUAGAACUCGAAUUCAACGACAUAGAACUACUUAAAUCCCUCUACUAAGCUUUUGUGAUGAGUCUAAUCUGGAUACCAUAUGAAUCACACUCUACAUGUCUAGAUCGCAUCAAAAGAAAAUUUAUUAAUCACAUCUGGAAUAACCUACAUGGUACCUAUUUAACAUCCCUAAAAACUAGGAGGGACUCACGUGCAAUCUUCUUACAUAAAUUAAUCAACCACGCCAUUAACUGCCUUUAUCUUCUUUCAAAAUUAUCAUUCUGAAUUGUGUAUUUGUGAUGUGUCAUAAUACGAAGAGGCCUUUAUUUAUAUACAUAUUUACUAUUUUGUUUUUUUGUAAUUUUGUACUGUUAUGAGAGGUUUCAGUGUUGGGCGAAUAAAUUAUUUAUUUAUUAACCAAA